CUUGAAUAUCAUUAUAGAUAGAGAUUAACUGUAAACAGCAAUAAUGUUCAGCAAAGUAAGAUCUACAAAUAAGUCAACAUGACCAAAAUGGUCAGUUGACCACUUUAGGAGUUAUUGCCCUUUAUAGUCAAUUUUUAACCAUUUUUCGUAAAUCUUAGUAAUCUUUUAGAAAAAUCUUCUCCUCUGAAACUACUGGGCCAAAUUUAACCAAACUUAGCCAUAAUCAUCAUUGGGGUAUCUAGUUAAAAAUAUGUGUCCGGUAACUCGGCCAACAAACCAAGAUGGCCGCCAUGGCUAAAAAUAGAACAUGGGGGUAAAAUGCAGUUUUUGGCUUAUAACUCAAAAACCAAAGCAUUUAGAGCAAAUCUGAGAGGAGGUAAAAUUGUUGAUCAGGUCAUGAUCUAUCUGCCCUGGAAUUUUCAGAUGAAUCGGAUAAUCGGUUGUUAGGUUGCUGCCCCUGAAUUGGUAAUUUUGAGGACAUUUUGCUUUUUUUUUGUUAUUACCUUGAAUAUUAUUAUAGAUAGAGAUAAACUGUAAACAGCAAUAAUGUACAGCAAAGUAAGAACUAAAAAUAAGUCAGUAUGACCAAAAUAGUCAAUUGACCCACUAAGGAGUUAUUGCCCUUCAUAGUCAAUUUUUAACAAUUUUCUUAAAAUUUGAAGAUUUUCAAUAACAUUUUCCACAUAAAGUACUGUUAUAGAUAGAGAUAAUUGUAAGCAGCAAGAAUGUUUAGUAAAGUAAGAUCUACAAACACAUCAC
Molecule: long non-coding RNA, 759 nt
Filed under: Mytilus galloprovincialis (Mediterranean mussel)
Lineage: Eukaryota; Metazoa; Mollusca; Bivalvia; Mytilida; Mytilidae
Source: RNAcentral